This is a non-coding RNA of Phascolarctos cinereus (koala), 1490 nucleotides long. The record is from RefSeq and is a predicted model, not a curated record. NCBI's taxonomy places the organism in Eukaryota, Metazoa, Chordata, Mammalia, Diprotodontia, Phascolarctidae.
UCUGAUAAGAGAAACAUGGACAUGACUAGUGAAUGAUUCAGUCUUAGAGUCUUCUGAGUCUGAGGUGCCCCUGACCUUCAGUCCCAUCUUUGUUUCCUGAAGGUGGUCUUUGGAACGUCAACUUCUGCCUUACCAGUUCUGCAUUUGCCUUUCUUGUAUGUACUGAAUUCACAUGUCCAUCUAGCUCGCAGCUGUAACAAAAUACAACUCUAUUUCUCCAUUUUUGCUCAGCCAGUGGUGUCAUAAUAAUGAUCUACUGGGAUGUUUGGUCCCAUUCUUUAUCUUUUCUAGGAGAAGUGUUUCUGACCAGGGUUCAAUUUGCCAGAAGACUGACUUGGCAGAUACUUCCGCCUUGAAAGAUGGGAUUAGGGGUAUUCUCCCACCUUUGUCCCACAAGCUGUACUUUAGAAGGCAUUUCUUUCUCAACACUUUUGGGAAAGUGUUUUUUUUCUGCUGCAAAAUUUUCUUUCUGUGUUCAAGUCUUUCCUCAAAUAGUUUCACUGUCUCAAGGAGCUCCCCAUAUCCAAUCAUCUUCUUCCUUCUCUCCAGUCCAAUCAUGUGCAUUUGGAACCUUCCUUUAUCUAGCCAUCCAGGGCUUGCUUGAGAUAGUCUGAUAGCAUCUACUUCUCUGGGUUUUACUGCCCACUUGACUACUGACCUCUGCAACAGUCUAUCCGUACAAAGCAUCAAGAACUCCAUUCCACCCCUUUCUGCUGAAAAGUGGUGCCAUCAACAAGUGGAGGAAUCUCCUAAACCUACCCGGUUUCCUUUUCCUGAGGGAAGGAGUAAAGACUGAGUUGUUUUAAAGAUAGAGAAGCAACCGCAUCAUGCAUAGAGAACUGUCUUGAAGCCAAGAAGACCUGAGUUCAAGUAACAUGUGAUGGUGAUGUGACCCUCAACAAGGCCCUCCUUUUCUCCACCACCUUCAAUGCUGUGAUGUUGAGUGCUGCCAGCGAAAAAAAUAUAUAUGUAAAAAAAUCCAUUCAAAAGAGCUGCUGAGAUUUAAACUACCUUAAUUAAAGGGGCAGGCCUUUGCUAAGGAGAGAAGAAGAGAACUGGAGUGCAUCCAAGUCUUCUAAUGGAUUUCUGACAACAUGGCAAGGCUGAAUUAAGCACUGGUUCUAUCUUGCAGAAGAGCCUUCAAGUAGAGCUACUACAGAAGACUAUAUCUGUUUGCUGAGGAUCAGCCAAGGUAUGAAGAGACUUGCCACAAGCAUACUGGCCCAUUGGUGAUGAAUACUUAGCUCAUGGUGAACAAAAACACAAACCAACCUUUAGUCCUGUAUAUUCCCUUUCAACUUCCUCUGUAACUGUGGUAGAGUGGUUGAAAAGGGUGUAGAGGCUGCUAAGAACCACACAGUUUUUAGGCCACUAGUAAACAUUAACAUAGCUAUUGUUACAUUAAAUGUGAGAUAUGUGUCCAGGGAUCAAGUGGAUAUAUUAUUGGAGGAAGAGAAUUACAUAAAACCUGAUACUCUUAUUAGAAAUGA